GUUUACAGUAGAAAUAAUGGCAUAAGUUUUCUUGCUUUUAUUAGUAAUCACAUUAAUGCAUUCUAUAACUGAAAUUGUACAGCUUUUCACUUGAAGGUUAAACAUUUUUAAUCCUACAUUGGGUAUGUGACUGUCAGGGCAAGUCUGAGGAACCUGUCAUUCUGGGUAUGCCACAGCUUCCUCCAUAAAUAAAAACUGGCCACAUCAAAAUAGCCCAAAAGGGUUACUCAAAAGUGGUGUUAGAUACACAUAGAAUAAAUCAAUCAAUAAAUAAAAAGAAAAACAACAAAAAAAAAAGACAUGGCCAAAAUGCAACAUCAAACGAUUAAAUGUAUUAGCCCCAUUAAGUGCUGUAUUAAAAUAAUUAUAUUGGAAUAGUUUCAAUAAUCACGAGUAAUCAUCGAG
RNAcentral lists this long non-coding RNA (405 nucleotides) under Mytilus galloprovincialis (Mediterranean mussel). Lineage: Eukaryota; Metazoa; Mollusca; Bivalvia; Mytilida; Mytilidae. The record is from RNAcentral.